GACACUUGUGCACCUACUGUUUCUUUUCAGGCUAGCUUGUACACAGUUUCUAAGCGACAUUACCUUGACUGAAAAUGUUACCCAUCAAGUUACUCUUUAUUAGCCAAUUCUUCAGUUCAAUUGUUGACAAAAAGAAAAUAAAAAUUCAUGCUAGUUGGAUUCCAAGAAGGAAUCUUUAGCAGUGCCGUAUUGAAAUAAUAAAGAAAAUACAAAUUAAUACUCCAGGGCAAGUAUUAGCCUGUUGCUCCAGAACCAAUGGGGUGUAGGCUAUGGUGCAGUCAGU
This 283-nucleotide long non-coding RNA is filed under the name Phoenix dactylifera (date palm). Its description in RNAcentral is "long non-coding RNA (PDAC_LNC020494)". Lineage: Eukaryota; Viridiplantae; Streptophyta; Magnoliopsida; Arecales; Arecaceae. The record is from RNAcentral.